Molecule: transfer RNA, 86 nt
Filed under: Bacillota bacterium
Lineage: Bacteria; Bacillati; Bacillota
Description: Firmicutes bacterium (anaerobic digester metagenome) tRNA-Tyr
Rfam family: tRNA
About the family: Transfer RNA (tRNA) molecules are approximately 80 nucleotides in length. Their secondary structure includes four short double-helical elements and three loops (D, anti-codon, and T loops).
Source: RNAcentral
GGUGGAGUGCCCGAGUUGGCUAAAGGGGACGGACUGUAAAUCCGUUGGCUAAGCCUUCACUGGUUCGAAUCCAGUCUCCUCCACCA